Molecule: long non-coding RNA, 191 nt
Organism: Zingiber officinale
Lineage: Eukaryota; Viridiplantae; Streptophyta; Magnoliopsida; Zingiberales; Zingiberaceae
Exons: 3
Source: RefSeq, a predicted model, not a curated record
AUGGAAUCGUCUUCCAUAAGUCCUGCUUCAAGUGCAAUCAUUGCAAAGGAACCCUCACGCUAAGUACAUAUUCAUCCAUGGAAGGUGUUUUGUAUUACAAGCCUCACUUUGAACAACUCUUCAAGGAAUUUGGCAACUUCCACAAGAAUUUUCAGUCAUCUGCAAAAUCUGCUGAUAAAGCUCCUAAACUG